GGGAUACGCUUCGAAAGGAGUGCUAUACCGCAUAUUCUCUGAGGAGGAAAGCAGGGGACCUUAGGGCCUUGCGCUGAUAGAGCGGCCGAUGUCGGAUUAGCUAGUUGGUGAGGUAAAGGCUCACCAAGGCGACGAUCCCUAACGGGUCUGAGAGGAUGAUCCGACACACUGGGACUGAGACACGGACCAGACUCCUACGGGAGGCAUCAGUGGGGAAUUUUGGACAAAUGGGCGAAAGCCUGAUCCAGCCAUGCCGCGUGAGUGAAGAAGGCCUUCGGGUUGUAAAGCUCUUUUGUCCGGGAGGAAAUCCUGGCCUCUAAUACAGGUCGGGGAUGACAGUACUGGAAGAAUAAGCACCGGCUAACUACGUGCCAGCAGCCUCGGUAAUACGUAGGGUGCAAGCGUUAAUCGGAAUUACUGGGCGUAAAGCGUGCGCAGGCGGUUUUGUAAGCCAGAUGUGAAAUCCCCGAGCUUAACUUGGGAACUGCGUUUGGAACUACAAGACUAGAGUGUGUCAGAGGGGGGUAGAAUUCCACGUGUAGCAGUGAAAUGCGUAGAGAUGUGGAGGAAUACCGAUGGCGAAGGCAGCCCCCUGGGAUAACACUGACGCUCAUGCACGAAAGCGUGGGGAGCAAACAGGAUUAGAUACCCUGGUAGUCCACGCCUUAAACGAUGUCAACUAGGUGUUGUGAGGUUAUACCUUUUAGUACCGGAGCUAACGCGUGAAGUUGACCGCCUGGGGAGUACGUCCGCAAGGUUAAAACUCAAAGGAAUUGACGGGGACCCGCACAAGCGGUGGAUGAUGUGGAUUAAUUCGAUGCAACGCGAAA
Molecule: ribosomal RNA, 830 nt
Filed under: uncultured beta proteobacterium
Lineage: Bacteria; Pseudomonadati; Pseudomonadota; Betaproteobacteria
Description: bacterial SSU rRNA
Rfam family: Bacterial small subunit ribosomal RNA
Source: RNAcentral